GAGUUUGAUCGUGGCUCAGGAUGAACGCUGGCGGCGUGCCUAAUACAUGCAAGUCGAGCGAACGGACGAGAAGCUUGCUUCUCUGAUGUUAGCGGCGGACGGGUGAGUAACACGUGGAUAACCCUACCUAUAUGACUGGGAUAACUUCGGGAAACCGGAGCUAAUACCGGAUGAUAUUUUGAACCGCAUGGUUCAAAAGUGAAAGACGGUCUUGCUGUCACUUAUAGAUGGAUCCGCGCUGCAUUAGCUAGUUGGUAAGGUAACGGCUUACCAAGGCAACGAUGCAUAGCCGACCUGAGAGGGUGAUCGGCCACACUGGAACUGAGACACGGUCCAGACUCCUACGGGAGCAGCAGUAGGGAAUCUUCCGCAAUGGGCGAAAGCCUGACGGAGCAACGCCGCGUGAGUGAUGAAGGUCUUCGGAUCGUAAAACUCUGUUAUUAGGGAGAACAUAUGUGUAAGUAACUGUGCACAUCUUGACGGUACCUAAUCAGAAAGCCACGGCUAAC
Molecule: ribosomal RNA, 509 nt
Filed under: uncultured microorganism
Description: bacterial SSU rRNA
Rfam family: Bacterial small subunit ribosomal RNA
Source: RNAcentral